GUGGGUGUAGCUCAAUGGUAGAGCACUGGUCUGUGGCUCCAGCGGUUGAGGGUUCGAAUCCCUUCACUCACCCCA
RNAcentral lists this transfer RNA (75 nucleotides) under Nitrospira sp. RNAcentral describes it as "tRNA-His". It matches the Rfam family "tRNA". From Rfam's summary of the family: Transfer RNA (tRNA) molecules are approximately 80 nucleotides in length. Their secondary structure includes four short double-helical elements and three loops (D, anti-codon, and T loops). RNAcentral also lists the same sequence under 1 other name. The record is from RNAcentral. Lineage: Bacteria; Pseudomonadati; Nitrospirota; Nitrospiria; Nitrospirales; Nitrospiraceae.